GGCCACAUAGUUCAAUGGAUAGAACAAAAGUUUCCUAAACUUUAGAUCCAGGUUCGAUCCCUGGUGUGGCUACCA
This 75-nucleotide transfer RNA is filed under the name Chryseobacterium bernardetii. RNAcentral describes it as "tRNA-Arg". It matches the Rfam family "tRNA". From Rfam's summary of the family: Transfer RNA (tRNA) molecules are approximately 80 nucleotides in length. Their secondary structure includes four short double-helical elements and three loops (D, anti-codon, and T loops). Further hydrogen bonds mediate the characteristic L-shaped molecular structure. tRNAs have two regions of fundamental functional importance: the anti-codon, which is responsible for specific mRNA codon recognition, and the 3' end, to which the tRNAs corresponding amino acid is attached (by aminoacyl-tRNA synthetases). tRNAs cope with the degeneracy of the genetic code in two manners: having more than one tRNA (with a specific anti-codon) for a particular amino acid; and 'wobble' base-pairing, i.e. permitting non-standard base-pairing at the 3rd anti-codon position. Lineage: Bacteria; Pseudomonadati; Bacteroidota; Flavobacteriia; Flavobacteriales; Weeksellaceae. The record is from RNAcentral. RNAcentral also lists the same sequence under 1 other name.